UNUGAACUGGGUGACUAGAGUGUGUCAGAGGGAGGUAGAAUUNCACGUGUAGCAGUGAAAUGCGUAGAGAUGUGGAGGAAUACCGAUGGCGAAGGCAGCCUCCUGGGAUAACACUGACGUUCAUGCCCGAAAGCGUGGGUAGCAAACAGGAUUAGAUACCCUGGUAGUCCACGCCCUAAACGAUGUCGAUUAGCUGUUGGGCAGCAUGACUGCUUAGUAGCGAAGCUAACGCGUGAAAUCGACCGCCUGGGGAGUACGGUCGCAAGAUUAAAACUCAAAGGAAUUGACGGGGACCCGCACAAGCGGUGGAUGAUGUGGAUUAAUUCGAUGCAACGCGAAGAACCUUACCUGGUCUUGACAUGUACGGAACCCUCCAGAGACGGAGGGGUGCCUUCGGGAGCCGUAACACAGGUGCUGCAUGGCUGUCGUCAGCUCGUGUCGUGAGAUGUUGGGUUAAGUCCCGCAACGAGCGCAACCCUUGUCAUUAGUUGCCAUCAUUAAGUUGGGCACUCUAAUGAGACUGCCGGUGACAAGCCGGAGGAAGGUGGGGAUGACGUCAAGUCCUCAUGGCCCUUAUGACCAGGGCUUCACACGUCAUACAAUGGUCGGUACAGAGGGUAGCCAAGCCGCGAGGUGGAGCCAAUCUCACAAAACCGAUCGUAGUCCGGAUUGCACUCUGCAACUCGAGUGCAUGAAGUCGGAAUCGCUAGUAAUCGCAGGUCAGCAUACUGCGGUGAAUACGUUCCCGGGUCUUGUACACACCGCCCGUCACACCAUGGGAGUGGGGGAUACCAGAAGUAGG
RNAcentral lists this ribosomal RNA (802 nucleotides) under uncultured bacterium. Its description in RNAcentral is "bacterial SSU rRNA". It matches the Rfam family "Bacterial small subunit ribosomal RNA", at positions 627 to 1430 of the family's 1533-position model. The record is from RNAcentral.